CCUACGGGAGGCUGCAGUGAGGAAUAUUGGUCAAUGGACGAGAGUCUGAACCAGCCAAGUAGCGUGAAGGAUGACUGCCCUAUGGGUUGUAAACUUCUUUUAUAUGGGAAUAAAACGUUCCACGUGUGGGAUUUUGUAUGUACCAUGUGAAUAAGGAUCGGCUAACUCCGUGCCAGCAGCCGCGGUAAUACGGAGGAUCCGAGCGUUAUCCGGAUUUAUUGGGUUUUAAGGGAGCGUAGGUGGAUUGUUAAGUCAGUUGUGAAAGUUUGCGGCUCAACCGUAAAAUUGCAGUUGAAACUGGCAGUCUUGAGUACAGUAGAGGUGGGCGGAAUUCGUGGUGUAGCGGUGAAAUGCUUAGAUAUCACGAAGAACUCCGAUUGCGAAGGCAGUUCACUGGACUGCAACUGACACUGAGGCUCGAAAGUGUGGGUAUCAAACAGGAUUAGAUACCCCGGUAGUC
This 460-nucleotide ribosomal RNA is filed under the name uncultured bacterium. RNAcentral's name for it is "partial 16S ribosomal RNA". It matches the Rfam family "Bacterial small subunit ribosomal RNA", at positions 338 to 795 of the family's 1533-position model. The record is from RNAcentral.